Molecule: ribosomal RNA, 615 nt
Filed under: Saccharomyces cerevisiae (brewer's yeast)
Lineage: Eukaryota; Fungi; Ascomycota; Saccharomycetes; Saccharomycetales; Saccharomycetaceae
Description: eukaryotic LSU rRNA
Rfam family: Eukaryotic large subunit ribosomal RNA
Source: RNAcentral
GAGUUGUAAUUUGGAGAGGGCAACUUUGGGGCCGUUCCUUGUCUAUGUUCCUUGGAACAGGACGUCAUAGAGGGUGAGAAUCCCGUGUGGCGAGGAGUGCGGUUCUUUGUAAAGUGCCUUCGAAGAGUCGAGUUGUUUGGGAAUGCAGCUCUAAGUGGGUGGUAAAUUCCAUCUAAAGCUAAAUAUUGGCGAGAGACCGAUAGCGAACAAGUACAGUGAUGGAAAGAUGAAAAGAACUUUGAAAAGAGAGUGAAAAAGUACGUGAAAUUGUUGAAAGGGAAGGGCAUUUGAUCAGACAUGGUGUUUUGUGCCCUCUGCUCCUUGUGGGUAGGGGAAUCUCGCAUUUCACUGGGCCAGCAUCAGUUUUGGUGGCAGGAUAAAUCCAUAGGAAUGUAGCUUGCCUCGGUAAGUAUUAUAGCCUGUGGGAAUACUGCCAGCUGGGACUGAGGACUGCGACGUAAGUCAAGGAUGCUGGCAUAAUGGUUAUAUGCCGCCCGUCUUGAAACACGGACCAAGGAGUCUAACGUCUAUGCGAGUGUUUGGGUGUAAAACCCAUACGCGUAAUGAAAGUGAACGUAGGUUGGGGCCUCGCAAGAGGUGCACAAUCGACCGAUC